AGCUUUGCGCAGUGGCAGUACCGCAAGCAAUGAGCUUUUAGCGAGCUGCGGUUAUUGCUAGUUGAAAACUAAACCCAAUUCCCCGCCAUUUAAUCGUGUAAUACCGAUUAGAUAGGCAAUUUUUGGAGGCCUAUCGGCC
This is a non-coding RNA of Euroglyphus maynei, 139 nucleotides long. The record is from Rfam. NCBI's taxonomy places the organism in Eukaryota, Metazoa, Arthropoda, Arachnida, Sarcoptiformes, Pyroglyphidae.